RNAcentral lists this ribosomal RNA (1405 nucleotides) under uncultured bacterium. Its description in RNAcentral is "bacterial SSU rRNA". It matches the Rfam family "Bacterial small subunit ribosomal RNA". The record is from RNAcentral.
GAGUUUGAUCCUGGCUCAGGACGAACGCUGGCGGCGUGCCUAAUACAUGCAAGUAGAACGCUGAAGAGAGGAGCUUGCUCUUCUUGGAUGAGUUGCGAACGGGUGAGUAACGCGUAGGUAACCUGCCUUGUAGCGGGGGAUAACUAUUGGAAACGAUAGCUAAUACCGCAUAACAAUAGGUGACACAUGUCAUUUAUUUGAAAGGGGCAAUUGCUCCACUACAAGAUGGACCUGCGUUGUAUUAGCUAGUAGGUGAGGUAACGGCUCACCUAGGCGACGAUACAUAGCCGACCUGAGAGGGUGAUCGGCCACACUGGGACUGAGACACGGCCCAGACUCCUACGGGAGGCGGCAGUAGGGAAUCUUCGGCAAUGGGGGCAACCCUGACCGAGCAACGCCGCGUGAGUGAAGAAGGUUUUCGGAUCGUAAAGCUCUGUUGUAAGUCAAGAACGAGUGUGAGAGUGGAAAGUUCACACUGUGACGGUAGCUUACCAGAAAGGGACGGCUAACUACGUGCCAGCAGCCGCGGUAAUACGUAGGUCCCGAGCGUUGUCCGGAUUUAUUGGGCGUAAAGCGAGCGCAGGCGGUUUGAUAAGUCUGAAGUUAAAGGCUGUGGCUCAACCAUAGUUCGCUUUGGAAACUGUCAAACUUGAGUGCAGAAGGGGAGAGUGGAAUUCCAUGUGUAGCGGUGAAAUGCGUAGAUAUAUGGAGGAACACCGGUGGCGAAAGCGGCUCUCUGGUCUGUAACUGACGCUGAGGCUCGAAAGCGUGGGGAGCGAACAGGAUUAGAUACCCUGGUAGUCCACGCCGUAAACGAUGAGUGCUAGGUGUUGGAUCCUUUCCGGGAUUCAGUGCCGCAGCUAACGCAUUAAGCACUCCGCCUGGGGAGUACGACCGCAAGGUUGAAACUCAAAGGAAUUGACGGGGGCCCGCACAAGCGGUGGAGCAUGUGGUUUAAUUCGAAGCAACGCGAAGAACCUUACCAGGUCUUGACAUCCCGAUGCUAUUUCUAGAGAUAGAAAGUUACUUCGGUACAUCGGUGACAGGUGGUGCAUGGUUGUCGUCAGCUCGUGUCGUGAGAUGUUGGGUUAAGUCCCGCAACGAGCGCAACCCCUAUUGUUAGUUGCCAUCAUUCAGUUGGGCACUCUAGCGAGACUGCCGGUAAUAAACCGGAGGAAGGUGGGGAUGACGUCAAAUCAUCAUGCCCCUUAUGACCUGGGCUACACACGUGCUACAAUGGUUGGUACAACGAGUUGCGAGUCGGUGACGGCAAGCUAAUCUCUUAAAGCCAAUCUCAGUUCGGAUUGUAGGCUGCAACUCGCCUACAUGAAGUCGGAAUCGCUAGUAAUCGCGGAUCAGCACGCCGCGGUGAAUACGUUCCCGGGCCUUGUACACACCGCCCGUC